Molecule: ribosomal RNA, 373 nt
Filed under: uncultured bacterium
Lineage: Bacteria
Description: bacterial SSU rRNA
Rfam family: Bacterial small subunit ribosomal RNA
Source: RNAcentral
AUACGUAGGGGGCAAGCGUUAUCCGGAAUUACUGGGUGUAAUGGGAGAGUAGGCGGUAUGGUAAGUUAGAUGUGAAAGCCUGAGGCUUAACCACAGGAUUGCAUUUAAAACUAUCAAACUAGAGUACAGGAGAGGGAAGCGGAAUUCCUAGUGUAGCGGUGAAAUGCGUAGAUAUUAGGAAGAACACCAGUGGCGAAGGCGGCUUUCUGGACUGAAACUGACGCUGAGGCUCGAAAGCGUGGGGAGCGAACAGGAUUAGAUACCCUGGUAGUCCACGCCGUAAACGAUGAGUGCUAGGUGUCGGGGGGGAACCCUCGGUGCCGCAGCUAACGCAAUAAGCACUCCACCUGGGGAGUACGAUCGCAAGAUUGAA